GAAAGUAAGCAAGGGCGCAUGGCGGAUGCCUUGGCUCUCGGAGGCGAUGAAGGACGUGAUAAGCUGCGAUAAGCUUCGGGAAGGUGCAAAUAACCUUUGAUCCGAAGAUUUCCGAAUGGGACAACCCGUCAUUCUGAAGGAAUGACAUCUUGCAUAGCAAGAGGCUAACGCAGGGAACUGAAACAUCUUAGUACCUGCAGGAAAAGAAAAUAAUAAUGAUUCCCCAAGUAGUGGCGAGCGAACGGGGAUUAGCCCAAACCAAUGUUGUUACGGCAAUAUUGGGGUUGUAGGACCACGAUGUCGCAAGAACUUUAGUGAGAAGAAUUCUUUGGAAAAUGAAACCAUAGACGGUGAUAGUCCGGUAUUCGAAGCUAAACGAAGCGUAGUGGUAUCCUGAGUAGCGCGGGACACGAGGAAUCUUGCGUGAAUCUGCCGGGACCAUCCGGUAAGGCUAAAUACUCCCGAGAGACCGAUAGCGAACCAGUACUGUGAAGGAAAGGUGAAAAGCACUUCGAAUAGAAGAGUGAAAUAGUCCCUGAAACCGUGCGCCUACAAGCGGUCGGAGCAGCGUAAGUUGUGACGGCGUGCCUUUUGCAUAAUGAACCUACGAGUUACUUUUUCCGGCAAGGUUAAGCAUUUCAAAAUCCGCAGCCGAAGCGAAAGCGAGUCUUAACAGGGCGAUUAGUCGGAAGGAGUAGACGCGAAACCAAGUGAUCUACCCUUGGUCAGGUUGAAGGUUAGGUAACACUAACUGGAGGACCGAACCGAUAAGCGUUGAAAAGCUUCCGGAUGAACUGAGGGUGGGGGUGAAAGGCUAAUCAAACUUGGAGAUAGCUCGUACUCCCCGAAAUGCAUUUAGGUGCAGCCUUGGGAAUUACUACUGUGAGGUAGAGCGACUGAUAAGAUGCGAGGGCUUCACCGCCUAUCAAGUCUUGAUAAACUCCGAAUGCGCAGUAGUUCGAUCCCAGGAGUGAGGGCAUGGGUGCUAAGGUCCAUGUCCUAAAGGAGAAGAAUCCGGACCAUCAGCUAAGGUCCCGAAAUAAUUGCUAAGUUGAACUAACGAAGUCAGAUUGCUAAGACAGCUAGGAUGUUGGCUUGGAAGCAGCCAUUCAUUUAAAGAGUGCGUAACAGCUCACUAGUCGAGGAGUUUGGCGUGGAUAAUAAUCGGGCAUCAAGCAAUUUACCGAAGCUAUGGGAUCAGUAAUGAUCGGUAGGGGAGCAUUCCACUCUGCGUCGAAGGUGAAGCGUGAGCUUUGCUGGAGCGUGUGGAAAAGCAAAUGUAGGUAUAAGUAACGAUAAAGGGGGUGAGAAACCCCCUCGCCGAAAGACUAAGGUUUCCUGAUCAACGCUAAUCGGAUCAGGGUUAGUCGGGUCCUAAGGCUCAGCCGAACGGUGAGGCCGAUGGCAGAACAGGUUAAUAUUCCUGUACUACCUUAAGGAGUGACGUGGAGACGGAGGAGUGACAGCGCCGCGGACUGACGGAAUAGUCCGUUGAAGGGUGUAGAUGUUGAUUAUCCCAGGCAAAUCCAGGAUAAGAGUCGAACCUGAUAGUAUACCAAAUUCUUCGGAAUAAGGUAAUAGUGCGUGUAAGCAUACUCCCAAGAAAAUCCGCUAAACUUAAUCUUUAAGGUACCCGUACCGCAAACGGACACACGUAGUCGGGUUGAAUAUACUAAGGCGCUUGAGUGAUUCACGGUUAAGGAACUAGGCAAAUUGACCCUGUAACUUCGGGAUAAAGGGUCCCAACGAGAGUUGGGCGCAGAGAAUAGGUCCAGGCAACUGUUUAACAAAAACACAGGGCUGUGCAAAAUUGAAAGAUUACGUAUACAGCCUGACACCUGCCCGGUGCUGGAAGGUUAAGAGGAGAUGUCAUCGCAAGAGAAGCAUUGAAUUGAAGCCCCAGUAAACGGCGGCCGUAACUAUAACGGUCCUAAGGUAGCGAAAUUCCUUGUCGGGUAAGUUCCGACCUGCACGAAUGGUGUAAUGAUCUGGACGCUGUCUCAACCGUGAGCUCAGUGAAAUUGUAGUAUCGGUGAAGAUGCCGAUUACCCGCGAUGGGACGAAAAGACCCCGUGAACCUUUACUAUAGCUUAACAUUGAAUUUGGGUAAUUGAUGUGUAGGAUAGGCCGGAGACUUCGAAGCAGGUACGCCAGUAUUUGUGGAGUCGCUGUUGAAAUACGGCCCUUUGAUUAUUUGAGUUCUAACUCGUAGUUGCGAGGACACU
RNAcentral lists this ribosomal RNA (2225 nucleotides) under human gut metagenome. RNAcentral describes it as "bacterial LSU rRNA". It matches the Rfam family "Bacterial large subunit ribosomal RNA", at positions 1 to 2255 of the family's 2925-position model. The record is from RNAcentral.